CUGCGUGCGUGACUCGGUCUCCCUGGCGGUCUCUGGUCUUUGGGGGAUACUGCAACCUGGGCAUAACAGAACCAAACAUAUGCAAGGAAAAAUAACUAUACUUCAGGAACCCAAGAAUCAGACAGGAGAAGAAAUAGAACACCCAGACUAAAUGGCUCCUAACAGAAAACAAUUGCUGAUGGAAACAAAAAAACCACUGGAACAAUUAAGUAAGGAAAUAUCCCAUGCUGGACAGAGCACCUAACUGGACUCCUUUACGUACUUAUCUCCUGGACGCCUGUUCUCCACUAAACAGCCAGAAGGAUGUGUUCAACCAUAAGUCAUAUCAUAGCCCUUGGAACACAGUCCCCCUUGGGCUUCCCAACCUUUUCAAGGUUCCUCCUGAAUCUGUGUCUCCUGGAUUGGAAUUCCUAAAGACCUCAAAUAAGCUUUUGGUCUGCUUUGCAGCCUAAAUACUUUUCUGUUUGAUGAUACUCAGAAGAGAAUGAUCAUUGGACCUCCUCCAGCAUCUUUUGGCACCCAGGAAUACAGUUCCUACUGAUCAUUUCAGUGAGCAAAUAUCCAUAAAAAUCUAU
Molecule: long non-coding RNA, 575 nt
Organism: Suricata suricatta (meerkat)
Lineage: Eukaryota; Metazoa; Chordata; Mammalia; Carnivora; Herpestidae
Exons: 3
Source: RefSeq, a predicted model, not a curated record